Molecule: ribosomal RNA, 254 nt
Filed under: uncultured bacterium
Lineage: Bacteria
Description: partial 16S ribosomal RNA
Rfam family: Bacterial small subunit ribosomal RNA
Source: RNAcentral
UACGGGGGGAGCAAGCGUUGUUCGGAUUUACUGGGCGUAAAGGGCGCGUAGGCGGCCACCGCAAGUCGACUGUGAAAUCUCCGGGCUUAACCCGGAAAGGUCAGCCGAUACUGCGGGGCUAGAGUGCAGAAGGGGCAACUGGAAUUCUUGGUGUAGCGGUGAAAUGCGUAGAUAUCAAGAGGGACACCUGCGGCGAAGGCGGGUUGCUGGGCCGACACUGACGCUGAGGCGCGAAAGCGUGGGGAGCGAACAGG